This 520-nucleotide ribosomal RNA is filed under the name uncultured Glomus. RNAcentral describes it as "SSU rRNA". It matches the Rfam family "Eukaryotic small subunit ribosomal RNA", at positions 569 to 1086 of the family's 1831-position model. The record is from RNAcentral. Lineage: Eukaryota; Fungi; Glomeromycota; Glomeromycetes; Glomerales; Glomeraceae.
AGCAGCCGCGGUAACUCCAGCUCCAAUAGCGUAUAUUAAAGUUGUUGCAGUUAAAAAGCUCGUAGUUGAAUUUCGGGGUUAGUAGGUUGGUCGUGCCUAUGGUAUGUACUGGCUUUACUGAUUCCUCCUUCUUGAAGAACUGUAAUGUCAUUAAUUUGGUGUUUGCAGGGACACAGGACUGUUACUUUAGAAAAAAUUAGAGUGUUUAAAGCAGGCUAACGCUUAGAAUACAUUAGCAUGGAAUAAUGAAAUAGGACGUUUGAUCCUAUUUUGUUGGUUUCUAGGAUUGACGUAAUGAUUAAUAGGGAUAGUUGGGGGCAUUAGUAUUCAAUUGUCAGAGGUGAAAUUCUUGGAUUUAUUGAAGACUAACUACUGCGAAAGCAUUUGCCAAGGAUGUUUUCAUUAAUCAAGAACGAAAGUUAGGGGAUCGAAGACGAUCAGAUACCGUCGUAGUCUUAACCAUAAACUAUGCCGACUAGGGAUCGGAUGAUGUUUAAUUUUUUAAUGACUCAUUCGGCGU